UACGGAGGGGGCGAGCGUUGUUCGGAAUUACUGGGCGUAAAGGGCGCGUAGGCGGCUUUUUAAGUCGGUGGUGAAAUCCCGUGGCUCAACUGCGGAACUGCCAUCGAUACUGGAAAGCUUGAAUCCGGAAGAGGUCGGCGGAAUUACUGGUGUAGCGGUGAAAUGCGUAGAUAUCAGUAGGAACACCGAUGGCGAAGGCAGCUGGCUGGACCGGUAUUGACGCUGAGGCGCGAAAGCGUGGGGAUCAAACAGG
This 253-nucleotide ribosomal RNA is filed under the name uncultured bacterium. RNAcentral's name for it is "partial 16S ribosomal RNA". It matches the Rfam family "Bacterial small subunit ribosomal RNA", at positions 524 to 776 of the family's 1533-position model. The record is from RNAcentral.